This is a non-coding RNA of Cinara cedri, 272 nucleotides long. The record is from the annotation of a GenBank genome assembly. NCBI's taxonomy places the organism in Eukaryota, Metazoa, Arthropoda, Insecta, Hemiptera, Aphididae.
UUCAACGCUGUACAUGCGAUAUGCGCAACACCACUAUCGUCGUCUCCUACUGUCCAUACGCCUGAAACGUGUGCGCACAAAACGUCCAACGGGAUAGGACGUGGCCGAUUAGAAUCGUAAACGGAUCGUCCUGUCCGCCCGAAUCGGGAAUUGCAAAAUUUAAAAGCCGCGGAUCCUAAAAGAAGCCGAUUUCUAAUCGAUACACGUCAAGCUUUUCAUCGUAAGUCGGCUGAAAUUAUACGCGUUCCGGUUGUUGAAUAGCCUAUAAUUGU